RNAcentral lists this transfer RNA (75 nucleotides) under bacterium (Candidatus Gribaldobacteria) CG_4_10_14_0_8_um_filter_33_9. RNAcentral's name for it is "tRNA-Val". It matches the Rfam family "tRNA". From Rfam's summary of the family: Transfer RNA (tRNA) molecules are approximately 80 nucleotides in length. Their secondary structure includes four short double-helical elements and three loops (D, anti-codon, and T loops). Lineage: Bacteria; Candidatus Gribaldobacteria. The record is from RNAcentral.
GGGCACUUGGCGCAGUGGUAGCGCGCUUCACUGACAUUGAAGAGGUCAGAGGUUCAAAUCCUCUAGUGCCCACCA